Molecule: ribosomal RNA, 210 nt
Filed under: uncultured bacterium
Lineage: Bacteria
Description: partial 16S ribosomal RNA
Rfam family: Bacterial small subunit ribosomal RNA
Source: RNAcentral
UACGUAGGGUGCAAGCGUUAAUCGGAAUUACUGGGCGUAAAGCGUGCGCAGGCGGUUCGCUUAAGACAGAUGUGAAAUCCCCGGGCUUAACCUGGGAACUGCAUUUGUGACUGGCGGGCUAGAGUAUGGCAGAGGGGGGGUAGGAAUUCCACGUGUAGCAGUGAAAAUGCGUAGAGAUGUGGAGGAAUACCGAUGGCGAAGGGCAGCCCC